UAGCGGCGGACGGGUGAGUAACGCGUAGGUAACUUACCUCUUACAGGGGGAUAACACUUAGAAAUGGGUGCUAAUACCGCAUAACACCGAACCAAGGCAUCUUGGAACGGUCAAAGGAGCAAUCUGGUAAGAGAUAGACCUGCGUUCGAUUAGCUAGUUGGUGGGGUAGAGGCCUACCAAGGCGACGAUCGAUAGCCGAACUGAGAGGUUGAUCGGCCACAUUGGGACUGAGACACGGCCCAAACUCCUACGGGAGGCAGCAGUGGGAGUAUUGCUCAAUGGAGGAAACUCUGAAGCAGCAACGCCGCGUGAAGGAAGAAGGCUUUCGGGUUGUAAACUUCUUUGAAUGGUGACGAAUAAAUGACGGUAACCAUAAAACAAGCCACGGCUAACUACGUGCCAGCAGCCGCGGUAAUACGUAGGUGGCAAGCGUUAUCCGGAAUUACUGGGUGUAAAGGGCGUGUAGGCGGGAAGAUAAGUCAGAUGUGAAAUGCCAAGGCUUAACCAUGGAACUGCAUCUGAAACUAUUUUUCUUGAGUGCUGGAGAGGAAAGCGGAAUUCCUAGUGUAGCGGUGAAAUGCGUAGAUAUUAGGAGGAACACCAGUGGCGAAGGCGGCUUUCUGGACAGUAACUGACGCUGAGGCGCGAAAGCGUGGGGAGCAAACAGGAUUAGAUACCCUGGUAGUCCACGCUGUAAACGAUGGAUACUAGGUGUAGGGGGUAUCGACCCCUUCUGUGCCGGAGUUAACACAAUAAGUAUCCCACCUGGGGAGUACGGCCGCAAGGUGAA
This 790-nucleotide ribosomal RNA is filed under the name uncultured bacterium. RNAcentral describes it as "bacterial SSU rRNA". It matches the Rfam family "Bacterial small subunit ribosomal RNA", at positions 93 to 897 of the family's 1533-position model. The record is from RNAcentral.